GAUGAAGAACGUAGCGAAAUGCGAUAAGUAAUGUGAAUUGCAGAAUUCAGUGAAUCAUCGAAUCUUUGAACGCAUCUUGCGCUCCUUGGUAUUCCGAGGAGCAUGCCUGUUUGAGUGUCGUGAAAUACUCUCAAUUUCAAUCUUUUUGUUUGAAAUUGGAUUUGGAUGUUGUUGUGGAUCUUGCUACGACUCAUCCUAAAUGCAUUAGCGAUCUGCCUUGAUCACACACAAUGUGAUAAGAUGAGCAUUGUUAUAAUCAAGUCAUGACUGCUUCUAACCGUCCCUUUGGGACAAACGUCUUAUGUCGUUUGACCUCAAAUCAGGUAGGACUACCCGCUGAACUUAAGCAUAUCAAUAAGCGGAGGA
RNAcentral lists this unclassified non-coding RNA (366 nucleotides) under soil metagenome. RNAcentral describes it as "partial contains 5.8S ribosomal RNA, internal transcribed spacer 2, and large subunit ribosomal RNA". The stretch from base 1 to 120 matches the Rfam family "5.8S ribosomal RNA", at positions 35 to 154 of the family's 154-position model. The record is from RNAcentral.